This 1209-nucleotide long non-coding RNA is filed under the name Apteryx owenii (little spotted kiwi). RNAcentral describes it as "lncRNA (ENSAOWG00000012629.1)". Lineage: Eukaryota; Metazoa; Chordata; Aves; Apterygiformes; Apterygidae. The record is from RNAcentral.
AUGGCAUCAGAGCAGCAGCCGGGGUGCUCACGGCAUACCCCAGGGCUCCGGCCACCUCUGCCCGAACUGCUACGGAGGGCCUGGGCCCCGGCGAGACCCCACGCUCCCAGAGCCCAAACACUCACUCUGCCUCCAGAAGUCAGCAAACUUGGCCAGGGGGGAGCUGAGGGAUGCCGAGAAAAACCUCCCAGGCUCAUCCAUGUAGCAGAACGGGGAAAUGGGCCAGCAGCGCGGGGACAGCACCAGCACCUUCACCUCUGGGGCCUCCGCCAGGGAUGCCUCCCCCAGCGCCUGGCACAAAGGCACGAGGGGGGCUCAGGACAAGGCCUAGGACCUCCACAAGGAGCACAGGAGGGCCCCGGCCUCCCUGACCCACUGGGCCGCUCACCUCGGCCUCGGGACUCUCCAGGCCCGUGUCCAGCUCCAGCAGCUGCUUGUCCUGCUCCUGCAGCUGGAAGAGGUAAAACUGCUGCUGGAGCUCCUCCGACUCGGCCAAGUUGCUCAGCAUCUGUUGGGGGAAGCGACUGGGGAAGCACAACCCAAGCUGCUCCACGACGGCCGCUUCCAGCCACGAGGGCCCCUGCGCCAGGAGCCGGUCCCCCAGGUAGUACCUGCCACAGCCACCAACAUCAGGACAGGGGCCAGCCCGAGCCCUGCUCCAGCCCCACGGCCCUCAGUCACCCGCCACGAGCCAGCCCUGGCCUGUCCUCCCACCAAGGCGCGUGGACCCAGCAGCACCAUUCUCCCUGCUCCCCGUCUCCAACAGCGAACGCAGGCUCCGCAGGCCAGCAGAGACCACAGACUCUUACAGCCUUUCCCUCUCCAACCCAGAGCCAUGCAAAGGGGGAGCACUGCUGCCAUACCAGGGCCAGCCUGAGCCAUGGCCUCGACACCACCUGCGCCUCCUCUGUCACGCCACGCCAUGCCAGGCCCUCAAGUCACGCGGAGACACGGCACCCCUCACCGGUAGAAGUGCUCAAAGGUAUGGGCGAGCUCCAGGCCACAGAAGACGACAAAGGGCUCCAGGAUCUGCUGCAGCGGCCCCGUGCUGCCCAUGACCCCAUGCAGCUCCUGCAUCUGCCUGUCGAGGUAGCGGGCAAACUGCUCGCUCACCUGCAGAGGGACAGGGCUGGCUGUGGAGGGGGCUCCCCAGGGCACGGCAGGGGCAACACCCCUGUGCUCCUGCAGGGAGCAGGCAGGGAGCCCUGA